CCUACGGGUGGCAGCAGUCGAGAAUCAUUCACAAUGGGGGAAACCCUGAUGGUGCGACGCCGCGUGGGGGAAUGAAGGUCUUCGGAUUGUAAACCCCUGUCAUGUGGGAGCAAAUUAAAAAGAUAGUACCACAAGAGGAAGAGACGGCUAACUCUGUGCCAGCAGCCGCGGUAAUACAGAGGUCUCAAGCGUUGUUCGGAAUCACUGGGCGUAAGGCGUGCGUAGGCUGUUUCGUAAGUCGUGUGUGAAAGGCGCGGGCUCAACCCGCGGACGGCACAUGAUACUGCGAGACUAGAGUAAUGGAGGGGGAACCGGAAUUCUCGGUGUAGCAGUGAAAUGCGUAGAUAUCGAGAGGAACACUCGUGGCGAAGGCGGGUUCCUGGACAUUAAUUGACGCUGAGGCACGAAGGCCAGGGGAGCGAAAGGGAUUAGAUACCCCAGUAGUC
RNAcentral lists this ribosomal RNA (446 nucleotides) under uncultured bacterium. RNAcentral's name for it is "partial 16S ribosomal RNA". It matches the Rfam family "Bacterial small subunit ribosomal RNA", at positions 338 to 795 of the family's 1533-position model. The record is from RNAcentral.